ACCAGACUCCUACGGGAGGCAGCAGUGGGGGAUAUUGCACAAUGGGGGGAACCCUGAUGCAGCGACGCCGCGUGGGUGAAGAAGCGCCUCGGCGCGUAAAGCCCUGUCAGCAGGGAAGAAAAUGACGGUACCUGAAGAAGAAGCCCCGGCUAACUACGUGCCAGCAGCCGCGGUAAUACGUAGGGGGCAAGCGUUAUCCGGAUUUACUGGGUGUAAAGGGGGCGCAGACGGCGAUGCAAGCCAGGAGUGAAAGCCCGGGGCCCAACCCCGGGACUGCUCUUGGAACUGCGUGGCUGGAGUGCAGGAGGGGCAGACGGAAUUCCUGGUGUAGCGGUGAAAUGCGUAGAUAUCAGGAGGAACACCGGUGGCGAAGGCGGCCUGCUGGACUGCAACUGACGUUGAGGCCCGAAAGCGUGGGGAGCAAACAGGAUUAGAUACCCGUGUACC
This 447-nucleotide ribosomal RNA is filed under the name uncultured bacterium. Its description in RNAcentral is "bacterial SSU rRNA". It matches the Rfam family "Bacterial small subunit ribosomal RNA", at positions 330 to 794 of the family's 1533-position model. The record is from RNAcentral.